Long non-coding RNA from Thunnus maccoyii (southern bluefin tuna), 351 nucleotides. RefSeq lists it as uncharacterized. Lineage: Eukaryota; Metazoa; Chordata; Actinopteri; Scombriformes; Scombridae. The record is from RefSeq and is a predicted model, not a curated record. The transcript has 3 exons.
ACCUGGUCUGGUACUGGCAUAGAACAACAUCUGCAAGCCAUUGUCUGCACACAGCAGAAAUGAUGACCAAAGUGAACUCCCGGGGGAAGCCAGAGUGGACAGCAUAUCAAAGCAGGGCCAAGGUCUCGCCUGGUGGAUGAGACAUGUCUCAAUUAGAUAGAGGACGCCACAGUCUCCCAUGUACCGCUGAAAUCCGAUCGUCACUCCAAGAUUGUCUUUUCUGCUCUCCAAGAACUGGAUGCCUGCAAGAGUGUCUCCAGGGAAAAGGUAAUUGCUGCGGAAGCCGAGCUACUGAGCGCCAGUCGUCUGUUUGGUUGAUAGGGAUCAGUGGGCAAAGAAGUGUGGAGUCGA